UACGGAGGGUGCAAGCGUUAUCCGGAUUCACUGGGUUUAAAGGGUGUGUAGGCGGGCAGAUAAGUCAGUGGUGAAAUACCUAAGCUUAACUUGGGAACUGCCAUUGAUACUAUUUGUCUUGAAUGUCGUGGAGGUUAGCGGAAUAUGUCAUGUAGCGGUGAAAUGCUUAGAUAUGACAUAGAACACCCAUUGCGAAGGCAGCUAACUACGCGAAUAUUGACGCUGAGGCACGAAAGCGUGGGGAUCAAAUAGG
RNAcentral lists this ribosomal RNA (253 nucleotides) under uncultured bacterium. Its description in RNAcentral is "partial 16S ribosomal RNA". It matches the Rfam family "Bacterial small subunit ribosomal RNA", at positions 524 to 776 of the family's 1533-position model. The record is from RNAcentral.